UACUCGAGUGGCGAACGGGUGAGUAACACGUGGGUGAUCGUGCCCUGCACUUCGGGAUAAGCCUGGGAAACUGGGUCUAAUACCGGAUAGGAGCCAUUUUUAGUGUGAUGGUUGGAAAGUUUUUUCGGUGUAGGAUGAGCUCGCGGCCUAUCAGCUUGUUGGUGGGGUAAUGGCCUACCAAGGCGGCGACGGGUAGCCGGCCUGAGAGGGUGGACGGCCACAUUGGGACUGAGAUACGGCCCAG
This 244-nucleotide ribosomal RNA is filed under the name uncultured Actinomycetales bacterium. Its description in RNAcentral is "partial 16S ribosomal RNA". It matches the Rfam family "Bacterial small subunit ribosomal RNA", at positions 88 to 334 of the family's 1533-position model. The record is from RNAcentral. Lineage: Bacteria; Bacillati; Actinomycetota; Actinomycetes; Actinomycetales.